Molecule: ribosomal RNA, 341 nt
Filed under: Gnoriste bilineata
Lineage: Eukaryota; Metazoa; Arthropoda; Insecta; Diptera; Mycetophilidae
Description: partial 16S ribosomal RNA
Source: RNAcentral
UUUUUUAAUUGAAAACUUGUAUGAAUGGUUCAACGAAAUAUUUUCUGUUUCAUAAAAAUUUAUAUAGAAAUUAAUUUUUUAGUUAAAAAGCUAAAAUGUAAUUAAAAGACGAGAAGACCCUAUAGAGUUUUAUAUAAAAAAUUUUAUAAUUUAUUUAUAAAAUUUAAAAUUUUAUUGUUUUUUAUAUUUUGUUGGGGUGACAGUAAAAUUUUAUUAUCUUUUAUUAUUUUUAAACAAUGAUUUUUGAAUAAUUGAUCCAUUUUUAAUGAUUAAAAGAUUAAAUUACCUUAGGGAUAACAGCGUAAUUUUUUUGUAGAGUUCUUAUCGAUAAAAAAUUUUGC